AAAAGAAACCAACAGGGAUUACCUCAGUAACGGCGAGUGAAGCGGUAACAGCUCAAAUUUGAAAGCUAGCUCUUUUAGGGUUCGCAUUGUAAUUUGUAGAAGAUGCUUCGGGUGUGGCCCCGGUCUAAGUUCCUUGGAACAGGACGUCAUAGAGGGUGAGAAUCCCGUAUGUGACUGGGUGCUUUCGCUCAUGUGAAGCUCUUUCGACGAGUCGAGUUGUUUGGGAAUGCAGCUCAAAAUGGGUGGUAAAUUUCAUCUAAAGCUAAAUAUUGGCCAGAGACCGAUAGCGCACAAGUAGAGUGAUCGAAAGAUGAAAAGCACUUUGGAAAGAGAGUUAAACAGUACGUGAAAUUGUUGAAAGGGAAGCGCUUGCAACCAGACUUGCGCGCUGAUGAUCAUCCGGGCUUCUGUCCGGUGCACUCGUCUGCGCUCAGGCCAGCAUCGGUUUCGGUGGUGGGAUAAAGGCCUUGGGAAUGUAGCUCCUCUCGGGGAGUGUUAUAGCCCUCGGUGCAAUGCCGCCUAUCGGGACCGAGGACCGCGCUUCGGCUAGGAUGCUGGCGUAAUGGUUGUAAGCGACCCGUCUUGAAACACGGACCAAGGAGUCUAACAUCUAUGCGAGUGUUUGGGUGUCAAACCCAUACGCGUAAUGAAAGUGAACGGAGGUGAGAACCCUUAAGGGUGCAUCAUCGACCGGUCCUGAUGUCUUCGGAUGGAUCUGAGUAAGAGCAUAGCUGUUGGGACCCGAAAGAUGGUGAACUAUGCGUGAAUAGGGUGAAGCCAGAGGAAACUCUGGUGGAGGCUCGCAGCGGUUCUGACGUGCAAAUCGAUCGUCAAAUUUGCGUAUAGGGGCGAAAGACUAAUCGAACCAUCUAGUAGCUGGUUCCUGCCGAAGUUUCCCCUC
RNAcentral lists this ribosomal RNA (901 nucleotides) under Oculimacula yallundae. RNAcentral's name for it is "partial large subunit ribosomal RNA". It matches the Rfam family "Eukaryotic large subunit ribosomal RNA", at positions 57 to 975 of the family's 3401-position model. The record is from RNAcentral. Lineage: Eukaryota; Fungi; Ascomycota; Leotiomycetes; Helotiales; Ploettnerulaceae.